This 497-nucleotide ribosomal RNA is filed under the name uncultured bacterium. Its description in RNAcentral is "partial 16S ribosomal RNA". It matches the Rfam family "Bacterial small subunit ribosomal RNA", at positions 28 to 507 of the family's 1533-position model. The record is from RNAcentral.
GAUGAACGCUGGCGGCGUGCCUAAUACAUGCAAGUCGAGCGAACAGACGAGGAGCUUGCUCCUCUGACGUUAGCGGCGGACGGGUGAGUAACACGUGGAUAACCUACCUAUAAGACUGGGAUAACUUCGGGAAACCGGAGCUAAUACCGGAUAAUAUAUUGAACCGCAUGGUUCAAUAGUGAAAGACGGUUUUGCUGUCACUUAUAGAUGGAUCCGCGCCGCAUUAGCUAGUUGGUAAGGUAACGGCUUACCAAGGCAACGAUGCGUAGCCGACCUGAGAGAGUGAUCGGCCACACUGGAACGGAUACACGGUCCAGACGCCUACGGGAGGCAGCAGUAGGGAAUCUUCCGCAGUGGGCGAAAGCUUGACGGAGCAACGCCGCGUGAGUGGUGAAGGUGUUCGGAUCGUAAAACUCUGUUAUUAGGGAAGAACAAAUGUGGAAGUAACUAUGCACGUCUUGACGGUACCUAAUCAGAAAGCCACGGCUAACUACGUG